This 429-nucleotide ribosomal RNA is filed under the name Acidobacteriota bacterium. RNAcentral describes it as "Acidobacteria bacterium partial 16S ribosomal RNA". It matches the Rfam family "Bacterial small subunit ribosomal RNA", at positions 355 to 776 of the family's 1533-position model. The record is from RNAcentral. Lineage: Bacteria; Pseudomonadati; Acidobacteriota.
UGGGGAAUUUUGGACAAUGGGGGAAACCCUGAUCCAGCCAUCCCGCGUGUGCGAUGAAGGCCUUCGGGUUGUAAAGCACUUUUGGCAGGAAAGAAACGUCAUGGGUUAAUACCCCGUGAAACUGACGGUACCUGCAGAAUAAGCACCGGCUAACUACGUGCCAGCAGCCGCGGUAAUACGUAGGGUGCAAGCGUUAAUCGGAAUUACUGGGCGUAAAGCGUGCGCAGGCGGUUCGGAAAGAAAGAUGUGAAAUCCCUGAGCUCAACUUUGGAACUGCAUUUUUAACUACCGGGCUAGAGUGUGUCAGAGGGAGGUGGAAUUCCGCGUGUAGCAGUGAAAUGCGUAGAUAUGCGGAGGAACACCGAUGGCGAAGGCAGCCUCCUGGGAUAACACUGACGCUCAUGCACGAAAGCGUGGGGAGCAAACAGG